GACGAACGCUGGCGGCGUGCCUAAUACAUGCAAGUUGAGCGCUGAAGGUUGGUACUUGUACCAACUGGAUGAGCAGCGAACGGGUGAGUAACGCGUGGGGAAUCUGCCUUUGAGCGGGGGACAACAUUUGGAAACGAAUGCUAAUACCGCAUAAAAACUUUAAACACAAGUUUUAAGUUUGAAAGAUGCAAUUGCAUCACUCAAAGAUGAUCCCGCGUUGUAUUAGCUAGUUGGUGAGGUAAAGGCUCACCAAGGCGAUGAUACAUAGCCGACCUGAGAGGGUGAUCGGCCACAUUGGGACCGAGACACGGCCCAAACUCCUACGGGAGGCAGCAGUAGGGAAUCUUCGGCAAUGGACGAAAGUCUGACCGAGCAACGCCGCGUGAGUGAAGAAGGGUUUCGGAUCGUAAAACUCUGUUGGUAGAGAAGAACGUUGGUGAGAGUGGAAAGCUCAUCAAGUGACGGUAACUACACAGAAAGGGACGGCUAACUACGUG
This 497-nucleotide ribosomal RNA is filed under the name uncultured bacterium. Its description in RNAcentral is "partial 16S ribosomal RNA". It matches the Rfam family "Bacterial small subunit ribosomal RNA", at positions 28 to 507 of the family's 1533-position model. The record is from RNAcentral.